GUCCCCUAUCUCUGACUUCAGAGCAUUUCUGCUCAAGCUACAGCAUUGUGCGUACUAUGGAGAAGUGAAGAUCAGAAACGUGGGGAGAACAAGGUUUUGCCCAUUGUGACAGAUAGUGCCGUUAUAUGCUGAAGGCCGCAGUGUCUCCAGGUGUUUUACCCUAAAAUUAUUCACCUCACCUGUCUGGCUCAUGGGAUCCAUCGAGUCCCUGAAGGGGUCAUAGCCACACUGCCAGAGGUCAACAGCCUUAUAUCUUCGGUAAAAAAGGUAUCCAUCAAGGCACGUAGUCGAGUGAGAGCUUCCAAGACUGCUCACCCUGACUGUCCUCUCCCACCUGAACCAGUCUCGUCGAGGUGGGAAAUGUGGAUUUCAGCUGCAAACCAUUAUGCAGACAACCACAGAAAAGUGAAAGAGGUCCUAAAGGGCUUUGAAGAUAGCAAAAAUUUAGCCAUACCAAAAGCCAAGGACUCCCUGAAAAAUUCCAGCGUGUUACACAGCCCAUCUCGCAUCCGAGCGCACUCGGGUGACCUUCCAGACCCAAUUGAGGAA
Long non-coding RNA from Schistocerca piceifrons (Central American locust), 549 nucleotides. RefSeq lists it as uncharacterized. The transcript is spliced from 3 exons. The record is from RefSeq and is a predicted model, not a curated record. NCBI's taxonomy places the organism in Eukaryota, Metazoa, Arthropoda, Insecta, Orthoptera, Acrididae.